CUACGUGCCAGCAGCCGCGGUAAUACGUAGGGGGCAAGCGUUAUCCGGAUUCAUUGGGCGUAAAGCGCUCGUAGGCGGUCUGUUAGGUCGGGAGUUAAAUCCGGGGGCUCAACCCCCGUUCGCUCCCGAUACCGGCAGACUUGAGUUUGGUAGGGGAAGGUGGAAUUCCUAGUGUAGCGGUGGAAUGCGCAGAUAUUAGGAAGAACACCAGUGGCGAAGGCGGCCUUCUGGGCCAUAACUGACGCUGAGGAGCGAAAGCUAGGGGAGCAAACAGGAUUAGAUACCCUGGUAGUCCUAGCCGUAAACGAUGGACACUAGGUGUGGGGGAAUAUUUCUUCCGUGCCGCAGCUAACGCAUUAAGUGUCCCGCCUGGGGAGUACGGCCGCAAGGCUAAAACUCAAAGGAAUUGACGGGGGCCCGCACAAGCGGCGGAGCAUGCGGAUUAAUUCGAUGCAACGCGAAGAACCUUACCAAGGCUUGACAUGC
RNAcentral lists this ribosomal RNA (486 nucleotides) under uncultured bacterium. Its description in RNAcentral is "bacterial SSU rRNA". It matches the Rfam family "Bacterial small subunit ribosomal RNA", at positions 501 to 989 of the family's 1533-position model. The record is from RNAcentral.